Molecule: ribosomal RNA, 252 nt
Filed under: uncultured bacterium
Lineage: Bacteria
Description: partial 16S ribosomal RNA
Rfam family: Bacterial small subunit ribosomal RNA
Source: RNAcentral
UACGUGGGGGCAAGCGUUGUCCGGAAUCAUUGGGCGUAAAGAGCGUGUAGGCGGCCCGGUAAGUCCGCUGUAAAAGUCAAAGGCUCAACCUUUGAAUGUCAGUGGAUACUGCCGGGCUAGAGUCCGGAAGAGGCGAGUGGAACUCCUGGUGUAGCGGUGGAAUGCGCAGAUAUCAGGAAGAACACCAACGGCGAAGGCAGCUCGCUGGGACGGUACUGACGCUGAGGCGCGAAAGCGUGGGGAGCAAACAGG